GUCUAGGGCCAUACCACCCUGAACACGCCCGAUCUCAUCUGAUCUCGGAAGCUAAGCAGGGUCGGGCCUGGUUAGUACUUGGAUGGGAGAUGUAGUCUCUUCAGAGGGAACACUGGAAGUAAAUA
RNAcentral lists this ribosomal RNA (125 nucleotides) under Canis lupus dingo (dingo). The record is from RNAcentral. Lineage: Eukaryota; Metazoa; Chordata; Mammalia; Carnivora; Canidae.